Molecule: ribosomal RNA, 253 nt
Filed under: uncultured bacterium
Lineage: Bacteria
Description: partial 16S ribosomal RNA
Rfam family: Bacterial small subunit ribosomal RNA
Source: RNAcentral
UACGGAGGGAGCUAGCGUUGUUCGGAAUUACUGGGCGUAAAGCGCGCGUAGGCGGCUUUGUAAGUUAGAGGUGAAAGCCCGGGGCUCAACCCCGGAAUUGCCUUUAAGACUGCAUCGCUUGAAUCCGGGAGAGGUGAGUGGAAUUCCGAGUGUAGAGGUGAAAUUCGUAGAUAUCUGGAGGAACACCGGUGGCGAAGGCGGCGUUCUGGACUGCAACUGACACUGAGGAACGAAAGCCAGGGGAGCAAACGGG